Molecule: ribosomal RNA, 459 nt
Filed under: uncultured bacterium
Lineage: Bacteria
Description: partial 16S ribosomal RNA
Rfam family: Bacterial small subunit ribosomal RNA
Source: RNAcentral
CCUACGGGUGGCAGCAGUGAGGAAUAUUGGUCAAUGGGCGGAAGCCUGAACCAGCCAAGCCGCGUGAGGGAUGAAGGUACAGAGUAUCGUAAACCUCUUUUGUCAGGGAACAAAGGCGGGGACGCGUCCCCGGAUGAGUGUACCUGAAGAAAAAGCAUCGGCUAACUCCGUGCCAGCAGCCGCGGUAAUACGGAGGAUGCGAGCGUUAUCCGGAUUUAUUGGGUUUAAAGGGUGCGAAGGGGGUCUGUUAAGUCAGCGGUCAAAGCCCGGGGCUCAACCCCGGCCCGCCGUUGAAACUGGCAGUCUCGAGUUGGAGAGAAGUAUGCGGAAUGCGCGGUGUAGCGGUGAAAUGCAUAGAUAUCGCGCAGAACUCCGAUUGCGAAGGCAGCAUGCCGGCUCCACACUGACGCUGAGGCACGAAAGCGUGGGUAUCGAACAGGAUUAGAUACCCUUGUAGUC